UCAUCAUUCAGUUCAGAAUUCAGAUUGAAAUUCAAGAUUCAAAUUUAGAAUUAAAAUCUUGAAUUCACAAUUAUGAAUGCAAUUUGAAAUUCACGAUUCAUAAUGUACAUAUUAAUAAACUAAGAUUUACAUGUGGGAUGCCAUAACGACCGAUUUGAACGAGUAAUUACUCGAAGCAUCUAUAAGCCAUUAGGACGCCCCUCGGCGAUAAGUCAAAACUUAUGUAAGACCCUUCACACACACCGACACGCACUUGUCAUUCAUCGUCGCGUCGGAAUCCAUCGCGGGUCGGCAUCAACCAAUGUCAUCGUGGUGCGGAGCGAACGGGAAACCCUUAGGCGCCGUGUCUGUAAAACGUCGGGUUCCGUUUCCGGUUCUAUUUCUGCGGGGAAAUACUCUUCGUUUCGAGUUUUACAGUGUCCUGGAGAUUCAGGUAACAAACGCGUCUUUCGUGCGAACAACCUCGCGGGUCAAACCAGUGUGCAUAAUGAUGCUAAGAUACUCCGCUCGAAUGUACGUUUGAUUGUAACAUUCAUUAUUGUGUAACAUCCGGAUGAUUCCCACAGGAAAUUACAUUCUAAGCCGCACAUAACGGACGUAAUUUUACGCUGACAACGGUGGACAGUCUUCCGGUAAUUGUUCCGGAUAAGUGAAUUCAAAUUUUGUGACAUGUUCGUUCAACAACACAAAGCAGGAAAACGAGACUCAUUAGACGGACGGCAAGGGUGUCAGCUGUCUUGGAUCGCUACGUGUUGCUUGUGUCCGAUGAUGACCAAAUCGAAAUUACAUUCUAAGCCGCACAAUAAUGGACGUAAUUUUACGCUGACAACGGUGGACAUUCAAUUAUGACGUGCGUUCUUACAGUCUUCUGGUAAUUGUUCCGGAUAAGUGAAUUCAAAUUUUGUGACAUAUUCGUUCAACAACACAAAGGAGGAAAACGUACAAGGGUGCAAGGGUGUCAGCUGUCUUGAAUCGCUACGUGUUGCCUGUGUCCGAUGAUGACCAAAUCGCUGGCAGCCUCCAUUUAUUUCACUUCGAAUUGGCGCUGAAAGUUGUCUACAUUUUAUUCUUGUAAAUAACGGUGAAAUAGAUACAAAAAGAAAAGUACCAGUGCGUGGAAAGUCGAUUGUUGGUGCCUUAACUAUUGUUGGUGCCUUAACUAUUGUUGGUGCCUUAACUAUUGUUGGUGCGUAUAAGAUUUUGAAAAAAAAAUCGUUGAAAAAAUAAACCAUUUGAAAAUGUCGUCUGCCGGAAAAUAUGUUCGGGCCCCUAAAUCCAACAGCGAUCCCGAAGAAUACGGCGAAAUGUAUGGCGAGUGGUCGUCAGAUGACAUGGAGUUUGAAGAACGUGAAAUUCCAAUAAACGAGAAACGUGAAUAUAAAAAAAGUGAAAACCAGGAAUACAUCCAGAAGAUAGAAAAACUGCAGAAUACUAUAGAUAAAUUAGUUAAAGAGAUGAACACUUAUCGCUCUCGUGAAGAUGACGAGUCGGUCAGAAGUUCUGCGCUUUCUGAUGAAGAUCUAAGCUGGAACAAUGCGAAGGUCAAUCCAGGUUCAUCAGCAAACUCUGGUAGUAUUCGAUGGGAAAAUAUAAAACCUUUCCCAAACGAUGUUCCGGCAAACGCUAUGUGGGAACAAUGGAACAGGUUUAUCGAUCGGUUUGAGAUCGCUACUUCCUUGGCAAAUGUGACGGACCCUGUCAAGCGCGCUCAGACAUUGUUCCUUUCGAUGGGAGAGAAACUCCAAGGAAUUACCAGGGCUGCGAGACUUCGCCCAAGUCUGACCGAACCAAACUGCUACAACCUAUUUGUCAAAAACAUCGAAAAAUAUCUGCAAUCAAUGGUCGACGUAACGGCGGAACAUGAAAUGUUUUCCAAUCUCCAACAAGGCAUUGAUGAACCAACUAUUGCCUUCCAUGCACGUCUUUUGGAAAAAGUGCGUCUCUGUCGUUAUAGUCAAACGGAUCAGGAUCGAUUCAUUCGAAUGCAACUACUUAAAGGAAUGCGUAACCGUGAGGUGGCAAAGGCGGCGAGAAUUUUUGGCUAUGAGACGACUUUUAUUGUACAGUCUGCGACUCGAGAAGAGGCAUACAUUCCGAAACCGUCACGAGUAGCUGAAUCCAGCAGAGCAUUCGUGGUGUCGCGAGAACGGAAUCGGUUCAGUGGAAAUAAACACCUGCCAAAACGCCGAUAUAAUGAUGCGGGCUGGAAUUACCCGGAAAGGUAUCGACAAGAAAGCGAGAACCAUUUUUCCGGAGAAGGAAAACGUUUUCGCUGCAAUAGGUGUAACCGUUUGUUCCACAAAUCUGGAACUUGUCCGGCAACUAAUGAGGAGUGUCGUACUUGUGGAAAUCCUGGACAUUACGCGGCAACGUGCAGGGAAAGAAAUGCCACGUACAUUCAGAAAAGGCAAAGCUCCAUUAAGGAAAGAUCGGGUGAAAAAGAUAAGCAUAGGUUCAUCGGAGCCAAUUUGUUUCCUACACGCAAAAGAAUUUAGAAAUUAAUUUGUGUGUUCUGUAGAAAAUACUUUACUUCCCUAUAACUCAUUAAUUUCACGUAAAAUCAAAGUGAACGCACACACCCAUAUUUUUAUUUUUUUUAAAGCGUGCGCUCACGCACACAAAUAAACAUUCGAUCCUUUCGUGGAAUAAAAUCAUUCAGUGCUAAAAAUUUUAUUUGUCGCCGUUCUUUCUUCCGCGACAGCAAGUGCUGUUCGUCUCCGGAUUGAAGAAAUCAUUCAAAGCGGGACUCAAAGUGAAACAGCAGAAGCACGAAUAUUUCCACCGUGGGAAUUCCUGUGUUUCCUGCCUUCCGUAUUAAACAUCCAGAGGACCAUUCGACGAAUGGAGAAUCACACCACUCGAAUCAAUCGACAGGUGCCAUCUCGGCUGAGCUGGAAACCUAGUUCAGUAGCAACAGCUGCUGUUUCAGCAGAAGUUGAAAAUUCAUCAGUGUCACUUCUCUGCAAUACACUCAGCAGCAGCAACCACAAAAGCAAAAAAAAAGAUACAUCCGCAACAAUGGAAUACGCAGCCAAAUUACCCUCGUCUUACCACAGUCAGCUAGAGAUAGUUCCGGAAGGAGAGAUAUCACAGCUGUCCGGCAGGAAUCGGCUUCCGUCGCUGUCCGCAGGUUGAACAAAUUAUCACCAUCCCCGUUCCUAGAUUCAAUAUUCAGUAUAUGACAAGUGGCAAUGUUGCUGAAAAUCUGCUGCGAUAAAACGAUGGCUACGACACCUAUUAGACGGAGUCCAACCUUUGAUUCCAUCGGAAAAUAUAGCAAGGUCGAAGACUGGAUUCGAGGAAGGUAUGAUGCUUAAGUUGCUUAUCUGCUAAACCAUUCGUCGUCCUGAGUAGCAACGGAUACUUCGGUACUCAAGUUUUCGUACAUCAUAAUCUACAUCGUUCGUACUAUGUGUUGUGGAUAAGCCUGUCAUCGAACACGUCAUCGACAAGCUGUUCAAUCUCACUGAAAGUCGGCGAGGGUGUCAGCUGUCUUGAAUCGCUACGUGUUGCCUGUGUCCGAUGAUGACCAAAUCGCUGGCAGCUUCCAUUUAUUUCAUUUCGAGUUGACGCUGAAAGUUGUCUACAUUCUAUUCCGGUGAAAUAGAUUCAAAAAGAAAAGUGUCAGUGCGUGGAAAGUCGAUUGUUGGUGCCUUAACGAUUGUUGCUGCGUAUAAGGUACGUAAAUUAACUUUUUAUUAUGCAACAAUCCGAUUCAAUUCUUUCGAAUUUAGUUCAGUUAUUUAGUUAAUAUAUAAGGAUUUGAGGUCCAGAUUCAAUUUCCUAUUAAGAUUUUCUAGUUGUUUCUUAUGAACUAUGUUCAAAUCAUUGAGGCACUAGGAUCAGAGUGGCUGAUUAUGUUACUCGCAUCUCUCCGGCACCAUACCUUUUUGGGUUUUUUUUUAUUAGGUCGUGUAUGUACUUUUUAUAUACGAUCGAAAAAAAUUGUUAAUUAUAAAGCACCAACUUUUUUUUUUUUAUUUCAAGGAAUUAAUAGCAAGCUGUCAUUCUUCCCCAAAAAAAAAAAAAUAGUGCCAAUAAUUUUGGAUUCUCCUCUUGUUCAUCCCAGCUUUACCCUACGGCACUGUCGAGAUCUUGGCUGUAAUUUUUGAUUAUGAUUAUGACUUAAAAAGCAAUCAACAAUAUAUCAAUGAAAUAUGAUCGAAUUCUUUGAACAGCUAUUUUUAAGAAUCCUUAAUAAAGAAGAUUUUUUGCAAUUUUCAAAAACGCGGGAAACCAAGCUGUUUUAACGAAUUUUGUGUUCAAUUUAAAUAAUUGAUAUUAUCAUCAUUAACAAGACUGGUAACUUUUAGUCAAUUUCAUUUGAUCCUCAAUAACGUCUAGUAGUCAAUGUCAUCGAAAGUAGUCAGGCGGGAAUGUAAACUUUUCAUGACAUUGUUGUUCUCCACUCGCAUAACACACUGUUAUCUUUCUAUUUUGUUUUCUGGUUGUGUUAGGAUGGAUUUUACGUUAUUUGUGGAGCAACAGUUGUAAAAAUGACUCUGCUGCAAUGAUAUAGGAUUUGUCUAUGAAUCAUGUGACCAACAUAUAUUUGUGAAUGUGAAGUGUUUGUGAAUAUCGUUUCUUAAGUUUUUUCCCUUAGAUCUUAGCUUUUUUUGCCUUGAAAGCAUAGGAGAUGAAAAGCUCCAAUUUGAGAAAAAAUAGCUUAAAUGUGAGAGAUGCACACACGGAUUCUAUAUCAUUGCAGGAGCCUGUCGAAAUGUAAUCCAUGACCGUAAGAAGCUAAAUUUAUAGCAAGAAAACUGAUAUUCGUUCAAAUUGGUCAUGACAUUGUUAGCUUAUGUCGCUGAACAAAAAUCAUUAUCACAUGACAUAGAUAUGCAAAGCAGUAUCAAAGUCGACUGAUAUUGGUUGGCUGACACUAACCAUUCGCAGCUCUGUUCAUAAAGUAUGUUGCAAUGUUCUCCGUUUUUCUUUAACAAAUAUUUUACGGCAUCCUUGUUUAAAGCGUUGUUCAAUUCAAUUCCUUUUACCGUAAACAAACUUUUUCAAGAGCUUAAUAUUAUUUUCAGGUUUAUGUACAACAUGAACACUUUACGUGGUUAUUUGAAAAAGUCAGUAUCUGAAGCCAAGCCGUCUUUUGAAAAAAUCGACGACAAUAAAACUCAGAUUGGGCUGGAAAACGAUCAAAAGAAACAGGAUGUAAACAAACGUAAGAAACGUCGUAGUUGAGCUGCCUAUAGCUCUCUGGAUGACAGCAAAACAUUAAACCAAGAUUCGAAAACAACGGAUUGCAUUAUAUAUCUAAAAUUUAUAUGAUUUGAAGUAAUAGGCAUCUCUUAAAAAAAUUAUAGUUCUUGGGUACAUUUUGAACUAUACACCACUGUACAAGCUAUAAGACAGAAAUAGCUCAGAUCCCCACUCACAAUUCAACAAAAUAAUUUCCGCGUUUAAU
Uranotaenia lowii is the source of this 5416-nucleotide RNA transcript. RefSeq lists it as uncharacterized. Lineage: Eukaryota; Metazoa; Arthropoda; Insecta; Diptera; Culicidae. The record is from RefSeq and is a predicted model, not a curated record. The transcript has 7 exons.